CAACUCGACUACAUGAAGCUGGAAUCGCUAGUAAUCGCAGAUCAGAAUGCUGCGGUGAAUACGUUCCCGGGUCUUGUACACACCGCCCGUCACACCAUGGGAGUCGGAAAUGCCCGAAGCCGGUGACCCAACCAAAAGGAGGGAGCCGUCGAAGGCAGGUCUGAUAACUGGGGUGAAGUCGUAACAAGGUAAC
This 193-nucleotide ribosomal RNA is filed under the name uncultured bacterium. RNAcentral's name for it is "partial 16S ribosomal RNA". It matches the Rfam family "Bacterial small subunit ribosomal RNA", at positions 1308 to 1500 of the family's 1533-position model. The record is from RNAcentral.